GGGCGAUCUUGAAUCUUAAUUAGAACACUCACGUUCCCUGUGGAAAAUCGAUACUCUAGAAUACUCCCGGGUGAAGGCUACAUCGGUAUCCGUGCGCUUGCGGAUUUUUCUGUUUGCGUUUAAAAUACCCAACAAGCCUUCUGGCGCCGUUGCCGGGGAACGGAAGUUGUGCUAGUUUCGAACCAAGUCGUCCCUGUAUCCUUUUUCUUUUCCUUUUUUUUACCACACUCACCUUAUCAUUUUCAUCAUGCCACAUGGAUUUCACUCUAAGCAUUAAUGAGCAUGGAAUUUAUUUCAUAGCCACUUCAUUUACUCCAUGCUCAUAUGCAACAUCUUCCCAAUCCAUUGGUUUUUCCAACAUCACCACAUUCGAGAUCUCCAACCCCCUCAUCCUUUCUAUUUAUCAAAACUUUAAAAGGGCGGUUGUCGAUACAUAUGUCUAUAAUAAACAUUGCAGAUCUCGUUGAGUUGAUCUUGAUAUAGGUCAGCGUUGG
RNAcentral lists this long non-coding RNA (494 nucleotides) under Sorghum bicolor (sorghum). RNAcentral describes it as "long non-coding RNA (SBIC_LNC006369)". Lineage: Eukaryota; Viridiplantae; Streptophyta; Magnoliopsida; Poales; Poaceae. The record is from RNAcentral.